RNAcentral lists this ribosomal RNA (502 nucleotides) under uncultured bacterium. RNAcentral describes it as "partial 16S ribosomal RNA". It matches the Rfam family "Bacterial small subunit ribosomal RNA", at positions 28 to 523 of the family's 1533-position model. The record is from RNAcentral.
GACGAACGCUGGCGGCGUGCCUAAUACAUGCAAGUCGAGCGAAGUGGAGGAAGCUUGCUUCCAAAGCUUAGCGGCGAACGGGUGAGUAACACGUGGGCAACCUGCCCGAUAGACCGGGAUAACUUGGGGAAACUCAAGCUAAUACCGGAUAGGAUCAUUGACCGCAUGGUUGGUGAUGGAAAGUCUGAACGACACUAUCGGAUGGGCUCGCGGCGCAUUAGCUAGUUGGUGGGGUAACGGCCUACCAAGGCGACGAUGCGUAGCCGACCUGAGAGGGUGACCGGCCACACUGGGACUGAGACACGGCCCAGACUCCUACGGGAGGCAGCAGUAGGGAAUCUUCCACAAUGGGCGAAAGCCUGAUGGAGCAACGCCGCGUGAGUGAUGAAGGUUUUCGGAUCGUAAAACUCUGUUGUUAGGGAAGAACACCCGGGAGAGGAUCCCGGAUUGACGGUACCUGACGAGAAAGCCCCGGCUAACUACGUGCCAGCCGCCGCAGUAA